GGAAGUAAAGUCGUAACAAGGUCUCCGUUGGUGAACCAGCGGAGGGAUCAUUACAGGGUUGCAAAACUCCCAAACCAUUGUGAACGUUACCUAUCCCGUUGCUUCGGCGGGCGGCCCGGGCCCCGCGCCCGGCGCCCCCCGGCCCCCCGUGGGCGCCCGCCGGAGGUAAACCAAACCCUUGAAUUGCAUGGCCUCUCUGAGUCUUCUGUACUGAAUAAGUCAAAACUUUCAACAACGGAUCUCUUGGUUCUG
This 252-nucleotide unclassified non-coding RNA is filed under the name plant metagenome. Its description in RNAcentral is "partial contains small subunit ribosomal RNA, internal transcribed spacer 1, and 5.8S ribosomal RNA". The stretch from base 1 to 53 matches the Rfam family "Eukaryotic small subunit ribosomal RNA", at positions 1778 to 1831 of the family's 1831-position model. The record is from RNAcentral.